UACGGAGGAGGCAAGCGUUAUCCGGAAUUAUUGGGCGUAAAGCGUCCGCAGGUGGCACUUCAAGUCUGUCGUCAAAGACUGGGGCUUAACCCUGGAAAGGCGGUGGAAACUGAAGCGCUAGAGUGUGGUAGGGGUAGAGGGAAUUCCCGGUGUAGCGGUGAAAUGCGUAGAGAUCGGGAAGAACAUCGGUGGCGAAAGCGGCUCACUGGAUCUCUUCUGACGCUGAGGCACGAAAGCUAGGGUAGCAAACGGG
Molecule: ribosomal RNA, 253 nt
Filed under: uncultured bacterium
Lineage: Bacteria
Description: partial 16S ribosomal RNA
Rfam family: Bacterial small subunit ribosomal RNA
Source: RNAcentral